UCAUUGUACAGGAUGGUUGCCAGCACACCAGUCAUUACUGAUUUUCCAAGAAGCAGAAAUGAGGAACAGGAGCAGAGUAAAGUAUUCCCCAUAAAUCAAGCACACUACUUCUGCUAACAUCUCUUUUAGCCACUCUACUGGUGUUACCCAUUCAAGUGGCUUUCAAAGAACACUUCCAACAGGAUACAUCUCUGCUAAACCAGGAGGUGACAAGGAGAAUUCGGUUCCGACAGGAAAAAUAUGCAAAGCUGCAGAUGAGGUAACAGAGGCUCAAAAAGGUCAAGUUGUAAGAAAUAGAAGAACCAGAUCCAUGUCAAAUCCAUGUCUCUCUCAUGUUAAAGACUUGCAUGUUCAAAUAGACCACACUUACCCACACUGACUACGCUUCCUCAAUAUAGUUCAAAUAUUUGCUGGAGAAAGUGCUGAAAAUUAUGUUUUGAAAAAUA
Molecule: long non-coding RNA, 446 nt
Organism: Canis lupus familiaris (dog)
Lineage: Eukaryota; Metazoa; Chordata; Mammalia; Carnivora; Canidae
Exons: 3
Source: RefSeq, a predicted model, not a curated record